CUCUAUUUAAAGCUGAUAUUAAGUUAUAGUUUUUGUUAAAGAUACAGCCGAAAUAUGUUGCACUCCUAGACAGAGAAGAUGGAUUCAUGGCAGAUAGGAAGAGUCAACAUAUACAGCCCAGAUAUGUUCCACUCCCAUACAUUGAAGAUGGUUUCAUGGUAGAUGGCACAUUAGGAUGUUUAACAUAUACAGCCUAAAUAUGUAAGACUCCUAUACCAUGAAAGAUGCUUCCAUUGCAGAUAGCACAUUAGGAUAAGUCACAUAUACAGCCUAAAUAUGUAAGACUCCUAUACCAUGAAAGAUGCUUCCAUUGCAGAUAGCACAUUAGGAUAAGUCACAUAUACAGCCUAAAUAUGUAAGACUCCUAUACCAUGAAAGAUGCUUCCAUUGCAGAUGCACAUUAGGAUAAGUCACAUAUUAUACAGCCUAAAUAUGUGACACUCCUAUACCAUGAAAGAUGCUUUCAUUGUAGAUAGC
Molecule: long non-coding RNA, 477 nt
Organism: Mytilus californianus (California mussel)
Lineage: Eukaryota; Metazoa; Mollusca; Bivalvia; Mytilida; Mytilidae
Exons: 6
Source: RefSeq, a predicted model, not a curated record